RNAcentral lists this ribosomal RNA (531 nucleotides) under Triticum aestivum (bread wheat). RNAcentral's name for it is "partial small subunit ribosomal RNA". The record is from RNAcentral. Lineage: Eukaryota; Viridiplantae; Streptophyta; Magnoliopsida; Poales; Poaceae.
AUGGCCGGCACCCCAAUGAAUCUCGGCGACCCGGCCGCGGCCGCAUGCCCUUCGGCGAAGAAGGCUCCCAAGAAGCCGCGGUCGGAGCUCACACCGGUGGAGCUCACCAAGCUCGAUGCCGAAUCAACCAAGAGGAGGAACUGGUUGACAAAGGUGGCGAAGAAGAAAGCUGCUGCCGGCUACGCCGCCAAGUCACGAGCCGCGCAGCACCAGGCCGACGCCGACGACAAGGAGUCCAUCGUCGCCAAGGCGCACGCCCUCUUCAUGUUAGGGUUGUGUCGGCCCUCGCUGGCCAUUCUCUCGGUCGCUGCCAUGGCCGUGGCUAGCACAGGCUCGUCGACCGUUCGUCCUUCGCAGUACCGGUCCCCGAGCUCGUCCGUCACGCCGGAGACGCCCGUGUAUCGUGUGCCGCCACUGCAUGGCCAUGGCCAGACCCGGUUCUCCAUGUCGCCGGACGGCAGCGUGGUCACGCCGGCCACGCCCGCAGCCCUCAUCGACCUCAACGUGACGGCCGGGGUACAGCGGCGCUAG